AUGAACGCUAGCGGGAGGCUUAACACAUGCAAGUCGAGGGGCAGCACAGGUAGCAAUACUGGGUGGCGACCGGCGGAUGGGUGCGUAACGCGUAUGCAACCUACCAUUGAUUGGGGCAUAGCCCGAAGAAAUUCGGAUUAAUACUCCAUAAUAUUCAUCAAAGGCAUCUUUUAUGAAUUAAAGCUUUUGCGAUCAAUGAUGGGCAUGCGUGACAUUAGUUAGUUGGUGAGGUAACGGCUCACCAAAACGAUGAUGUCUAGGGGUUCUGAGAGGAUUAUCCCCCACACUGGUACUGAGACACGGACCAGACUCCUACGGGAGGCAGCAGUGAGGAAUAUUGGUCAAUGGACGCAAGUCUGAACCAGCCAUGCCGCGUGCAGGAUGACGGCCCUAUGGGUUGUAAACUGCUUUUCCACGGGAAGAACCCUCCGACGUGUCGGAGACUGACGGUACCGUGGGAAUAAGCAUCGGCUAACUCCGUG
Molecule: ribosomal RNA, 482 nt
Filed under: uncultured bacterium
Lineage: Bacteria
Description: bacterial SSU rRNA
Rfam family: Bacterial small subunit ribosomal RNA
Source: RNAcentral